GAUGAAGAACGCAGUGAAAUGCGAUACGUAAUGUGAAUUGCAAAUUCAGUGAAUCAUCGAGUCUUUGAACGCACAUUGCGCCCCCUGGUAUUCCGGGGGGCAUGCCUGUCCGAGCGUCAUUGCUGCCCUCAAGCACGGCUUGUGUGUUGGGCCCCGUCCUCCGAUCCCGGGGGACGGGCCCGAAAGGCAGCGGCGGCACCGCGUCCGGUCCUCGAGCGUAUGGGGCUUUGUCACCCGCUCUGUAGGCCCGGCCGGCGCUUGCCGAUCAACCCAAAUUUUUAUCCAGGUUGACCUCGGAUCAGGUAGGGAUACCCGCUGAACUUAAGCAUAUCAUAAGCGGAGGA
This 344-nucleotide unclassified non-coding RNA is filed under the name soil metagenome. RNAcentral describes it as "partial contains 5.8S ribosomal RNA, internal transcribed spacer 2, and large subunit ribosomal RNA". The stretch from base 1 to 119 matches the Rfam family "5.8S ribosomal RNA", at positions 35 to 154 of the family's 154-position model. The record is from RNAcentral.